GUCAAAAUGCAAAAGUUAAUUGCAUGCUAUUUGAUCUAUUUAUUUCUUAUCAUAAAUUUUUCUGUAAAAUUACUUAUCUAAAGAUCUUUACUCUUGAAGUCUUGAAAGUAUAGGAUGCAUACAUGUUAACUCUUGAGAAUGAUGCUAGAAAUAUUGAGGAAAAGCAUCUGCCAUGAUAUACUGAUUGGGUUAUAUUCACAAGCAGAGAAACAUUGAGGUGCUGAUUCCAGGAUAUAGUGUUGAGUGACUACAAUAGUGAUGAAAACACCUUCUAUGGGAAAAAAGAACUAAUGCAAUAACUUUCAUCCUUGUGAACAAGAAAUGAAUCUGUUUCUAUAGCACUGAUGGAAGAAGAAAAAGUGACUGGGACUACCCUGAAAAUUGCAAUAAACAAAUUACUGGUUAUGAUAUGAAAAAAAUCCUCCCGUUUAAUUAGUUGACUGGUGCCUCUUCUUUGGUGUCUGAAGUUUCCUUCUUGUGGUCGGAAGAAUGGCAGUGGAAUCUGUCCCAGAGAGGGGACACUCAUACCUUAGACAGACUCUGCAACAGUGAAUCUUUCGUCUCAUCUUUCCAGAAUGGAGAACUUAACCGGUACCCUAUGCCCGGGUCAUACGCUAAGAAUGUUCUGAAAAAACAAUACAAGGGCCAGAUUUGAUAUGAAAGAAUACAAAUAAUUUCAAGUAAAUUUAUCCAGAAGCAUUUUCAUUUAAAAUAUGUUGUUUCUUCAAAUCCUCUUCUCAAACCAACUUACAUCAGACUUUGGUACUCCCACUCUCUAGAGACACUCUCCUCAGCCCUUUCCUGUUCAGACCCACACUUAUCUUCACUUCACUAGAGCUGUUGUUCAAUUCGUGAUCUUCACAUCACUGAACUUGUUAACAGCAUUAAAUUAAAUGAUGAAACACAUUUUUAAUUUUUUUCAUAAAGUUGUAUUAUCUAAUCAUGCAUGCUUAAUUUUUAAAAUAUCUUUACUCAUUUUUGAAACAUAUAUAAAAGAAAUCAUAACAACAUGUAAAAUGUUGCAUAGGGCUUUUGUCACUUAAUAUAAUACAAUGUUUAGGGAACAUUCAUUGAUUUUCAUUAGUAUAUAGUAUUACGUAUUGUAAAUAUGUUAUAUAUAUUUAUCUGUUCUGCUCCUUAUUGACAUUAAGUUUUCUUCCAGUUUAGCACCAUUUGAAAUAAAGUUGCUAUGAAAAUUGUGCAAUUAUUUUGUACAUAUAAGCAUACAUUUCCACAGGGUAUAUACCUAGGAGUGAAAUUUACUGGGUAAGGGGGCAUGUUUAUUCAAACAUAUGAGAUAAUGUGAAUAUUUUUUCCAAAGUGUUUGUGUCAAUUUGAACUUCUUCCAGGAACUUUAUGAGCAUUUUAUUUACUCCACUUUGCCACUUAUGCUUAGUAUUAUUAUGUUCUUAUCUGUUGGUUACAAUGUGGUUAUUAAAAGCACACUGUAGUAACAAUGUGCUUUUAAUCUGCAUUUUCUAACUAGGUGUUGAGGACUUUCCAUAUGUUUCUUGGAUAUACAGAUUUAGUUUUAGAAACUGCCUGUUAAGUCUUCAUAUUAUUAUUAUUAUUAUUAUUUUAGCAGUAAACUGUACUGCCUCAUAUACCUAUAGUAGUUCUCUGUGUAUUCAGAAUACAAGUACUUCCCCUUUUAUCAAGUGUUAUCAAUCUGAUUUCCCAUUCUGUGGCUUGGCUCAUGAAUUUGUAUUAAGAAGUAUAACUGUGUCUUUUGUUAAGAACAAAUCUUUUGUUCUAAUGUUUUCAAAUUUCUUAACACUUACUUUUAUUAUGGCUUUAUUAUUAGUGCAUUUUAUAUGUAUUAAUAAAUCAUUCCCUGCAC
Molecule: long non-coding RNA, 1840 nt
Filed under: Homo sapiens (human)
Lineage: Eukaryota; Metazoa; Chordata; Mammalia; Primates; Hominidae
Description: HSALNT0109978
Source: RNAcentral